CCUACGGGUGGCAGCAGUGGGGAAUAUUGGACAAUGGGCGAAAGCCUGAUCCAGCCAUGCCGCGUGUGUGAAGAAGGCCUUCGGGUUGUAAAGCACUUUCAGUGGGGAAGAAAGCCUUGGGGCUAAUACCCUCGAGGAAGGACAUCACCCACAGAAGAAGCACCGGCUAACUCCGUGCCAGCAGCCGCGGGAAUACGGAGGGUGCGAGCGUUAAUCGGAAUUACUGGGCGUAAAGCGCGCGUAGGCGGUCUGAUAAGCCGGUUGUGAAAGCCCCGGGCUCAACCUGGGAACGGCAUCCGGAACUGUCAGGCUAGAGUGCAGGAGAGGAAGGUAGAAUUCCCGGUGUAGCGGUGAAAUGCGUAGAGAUCGGGAGGAAUACCAGUGGCGAAGGCGGCCUUCUGGACUGACACUGACGCUGAGGUGCGAAAGCGUGGGUAGCAAACAGGAUUAGAUACCCGAGUAGUC
RNAcentral lists this ribosomal RNA (465 nucleotides) under Vreelandella stevensii. Its description in RNAcentral is "partial 16S ribosomal RNA". It matches the Rfam family "Bacterial small subunit ribosomal RNA", at positions 338 to 795 of the family's 1533-position model. The record is from RNAcentral. Lineage: Bacteria; Pseudomonadati; Pseudomonadota; Gammaproteobacteria; Oceanospirillales; Halomonadaceae.